This 253-nucleotide ribosomal RNA is filed under the name uncultured bacterium. Its description in RNAcentral is "partial 16S ribosomal RNA". It matches the Rfam family "Bacterial small subunit ribosomal RNA", at positions 524 to 776 of the family's 1533-position model. The record is from RNAcentral.
UACGGAGGGUGCAAGCGUUAUCCGGAUUUACUGGGUUUAAAGGGUGUGUAGGCGGACUUUUAAGUCCGUGGUGAAAUCUCCGGGCUCAACCCGGAAACUGCCAUGGAUACUAUUGGUCUUGAAUAUUGUUGAGGUGGGCGGAACGGGUCAUGUAGCGGUGAAAUGCAUAGAUAUCCGGAGGAACACCGGUGGCGAAGGCGGCAUCCUGGACCGGUAUUGACGCUGAGGCGCGAAAGCGUGGGGAGCAAACAGG